AACGUUACCNNNNNNUUGCCUCGGCGGGAUCUUCUGCCCCGGGUGCGUCGCAGCCCCGGACCAAGGCGCCCGCCGGAGGAAUCAACCAAAACUCUUAUUGUAUACCCCCUCGCGGGUUUUUUUUAUAAUCUGAGCCUUCUCGGCGCCUCUCGUAGGCGUUUCGAAAAUGAAUCAAAACUUUCAACAACGGAUCUCUUGGUUCUGGCAUCGAUGAAGAACGCAGCGAAAUGCGAUAAGUAAUGUGAAUUGCAGAAUUCAGUGAAUCAUCGAAUCUUCGAACGCACAUUGCGCCCGCCAGUAUUCUGGCGGGCAUGCCUGUCCGAGCGUCAUUUCAACCCUCGAACCCCUCCGGGGGGUCGGCGUUGGGGAUCGGCCUUCCUUCACGGGGGCCGUCUCCGAAAUACAGUGGCGGUCUCGCCGCAGCCUCUCCUGCGCAGUAGUUUGCACACUCGCAUCGGGAGCGCGGCGCGUCCACAGCCGUUAAACACCCAACUUUCUGAAAUGUUGACCUCGGAUCAGGUAGGAAUACCCGCUGAACUUA
RNAcentral lists this ribosomal RNA (541 nucleotides) under uncultured Hypocreaceae. RNAcentral's name for it is "eukaryotic LSU rRNA". The stretch from base 176 to 329 matches the Rfam family "5.8S ribosomal RNA". The record is from RNAcentral. Lineage: Eukaryota; Fungi; Ascomycota; Sordariomycetes; Hypocreales.